CAAAUGGAAUUUUUUGUUAGUUUUAUUGUUCAUUGAGUUUUGGGGGGUAAAAUGGUCAUUUAGUUAAGUUUCCGUUAGUUUUCUUAACGGAUUCUAAAUGGAAUUGGAAAAGUGAAACAAAAUGUAAUUUUAGGUGGAUUCCAGCAAAAGAAGAAGAAGAAAAAAUUUUGUAUUUUUUAAAAAAUUUAACAAAACAGGUGGACGGUGGAUAUUUUUUCAAUUUAAAAAGGAGCUUUUAUGUAGGUAGAAACUAGAACAAUAAGAGAAAUCGAACUUGAAACCUUAAUUAAAUUGAUAAGAAAAGGCUCACCACAAGUAUUAAAUAUAGGUCUUAUGAAUACGCUGUAGUUAAUUUAGUGCAUGCAUUAUUAUUAUGGUAAGCACAUUAAAAAGAAGAUUACAAUUGGGAAAUACGACAAACUGUUAAGCAUGAAAUGGCACAUGCUUGCAGUAGUUUUUUUUUUUUUUUGAAGUCUGUUAUACACAAAUAUUACUGACAUUACAUCAGACAUUACAAUUAAUAUUUACAAUCAUACUAUAUAACUGGGACCACCACCAUACAUUGACACACUGAAGUAUAUGCUCAAAUAUUUUAAACCCUCUCUAAUAUUCGAGGGGUGCCUACUUCACUCACAUUUCGUGAGGGAGAGACUGUCUCUACUCAAUUAAUUGAUAAUUGAGGAAGAACUGUAACUAACCUCCAUAAUACUUUUAUGGAAGCUCGAACCCUUACACUCAACAUUAUAAAUGUAAUGUUUCUCCCAUUAGACCAAACACCCAUUGGUCAUGCUUGCAGUAGUUGAAAGCACGUAGUUUAAACUUGAGAGAUGAUGCUACAGGGUAUUGUGUCAUGUGAGCAAAGGAAUGGCAGGAUGGACUUCAAUUUUAUUUUAUGUACUUCGAAAAUACUUUAUAAACUAUUGCCACGUGCGAGACAUCUCUUAAUACAACGUAAAGCUGGAAUGGAAUUGAGUGGUUGAUGGCCGGCGCUCAUAACUCCAUGUGAUUGAUUGAAUUGGUGAGAACUGAGAAGCGAGAAGGGUCAGUCUACUUUACAACUCAUCAGUCAUCACACACACACACACACACACAGUGUAGUUGUUGGAGUUUUGAAUAUAUGUAUUUCAAUUCCUAUCAAAUUAUUGUUUUUCAAUAUGUAUGAAUAACCAUUGCUUAUAUGGUGCUAUGUAUUAUUAUUAUUUGCCUUCACUGACCCUUCUCUAGAAUGAUUCCUUAGUUUAAUAUGUAAGUUACUUAUUCCAAUAUAGACACCAAGGUAGAUUUCUCAUCGCAGCAACCCAAAUAUUAGAUAGUAAUAAACAUGAACCCUUAAUUAAAUCUGUUAAUGGGUUGGUCUGGAUGAGUUGGGAAGUAGAUUAUAAGUUUCUCAACUUACACAAAAUUUAGUUUUGAAAGCUCAUCAUAGUUUGCUAAUUCUCCAGGUUUUCAGGAUCAUUAAUAAUGAUAAAAUUGAACUUCAAGUAAAAGCAAAGCUCAAUUGAUCCCUCAAGGCGAGGCCGAGGCGGGGGUUGAAAAAGAGGAAAAAGAAAAAAGAUGGUAGCUACUGGAUUUGUGGGUUAAUUAAGUGGGCCGAGGUUAGUUUGAACCUACUGGGCUAGGAGUUCCAUACAUCUUACGGAAUUCAGUCCACGUGCAAAUCACGUGAGAAAAUGACAAAUCAGCUUCCGAAAUCAGGUGAUGGUGAAGUCCAAUGGGAACAGAGAUUUCACGUGUUUGGUCGAAUCAUUUUCCACGUGUCGAGAUACUUAACGUAAGCAACUUCUAACACGUGGUCAAGAAACUAGGACGGAAUCGAAAACUUAACCUGUCGUUUGCAUAUCCCCUUUUAAAACGUUUUCUGUUUGCUUUUAAUGGAGAUCAUACAUUCAUAUUCUCACAAAAAAACAAUGAAACGAUUGUUCAUAUUAUCAAGUAUUACAAAUUCAGUAGUUUUAACGUUCACUUGAAAAAUAGUAAAUCCCGUAACAUCCCAUGUGUGUUUAUCGAUUGAUUUAAUAAACCUUCCCAUUUUAAAAUCACAGAUCAUUCUUUUUUCAUUGGUGAAGCGUGAGAGAAAGUUAAGUUUGAUGCGAAUAUGCCAAUCCAUCCGAAAUUUCAAUGAAACAACGUGUUGACUUAUGUUGUAACUAGACAAAACCAUUACAACUGUGAGACUUAAAAUGAAACAAGAGUGCAAGAAUCAGUAACUAGUCACUUCACACUUCCUUAAUUUCACAACUCAAGUUUGUUGCCAGGGUUGAACUGUUGGAUUCAUACAGCUGAAUCCGAAAUAAUUGUAACAACCUACAUUCAACAGUUUUAGAAACUGCUCGAUGUUGAAGCAUCUCCAAUAUAACUAGAGCUGGGUUUUAAUUAUGUCAGUGUUAAAUUUAAAUAAAU
Molecule: long non-coding RNA, 2400 nt
Filed under: Citrus x clementina
Lineage: Eukaryota; Viridiplantae; Streptophyta; Magnoliopsida; Sapindales; Rutaceae
Description: Citrus clementina (C. clementina) long non-coding RNA (CCLE_LNC002084)
Source: RNAcentral